UUGAGCCGUAUGUGGGGAAACUCACAUGUACGGUUCUUAGGGGAGCGUGUAGACUGGUAACAGUUUUGUGGGCUGGUAACAGCCCCCGCUUACCCGAC
Non-coding RNA from Candidatus Magnetoglobus multicellularis str. Araruama, 98 nucleotides. NCBI's taxonomy places the organism in Bacteria, Pseudomonadati, Thermodesulfobacteriota, Desulfobacteria, Desulfobacterales, Desulfobacteraceae. The record is from Rfam.